Molecule: long non-coding RNA, 2630 nt
Organism: Diorhabda sublineata
Lineage: Eukaryota; Metazoa; Arthropoda; Insecta; Coleoptera; Chrysomelidae
Exons: 3
Source: RefSeq, a predicted model, not a curated record
UAACCCUACUUUUAACAAAUAUUAUUAUGAUGCGCAUACUUAAAAAGGAAUUUUAAUGUUUGAAGAGGAUUUUUGAAAGUCACAAUGUCUAUAUACAAACAAAUUAUUAUUUGAGGAGUAUAGUUGAGUAUGAUCAUAUACAAAAACCAGCGUUCACUGAAAAAAUAUUUCAAAGGCGACAUAGUAUCAAAAAAAAUUGUCGAUACUGAAUAAUGUCUUUAUUUCGAUGAUACCAUCGAACUUAGUCGGAUGUUUGAAAAUAAAAACCAUCCACUUUGAUUAAUUUUUAAAUCAGAUCUGAUAUUGGUAAAUUCAAUACACCAACUAUACACGAAGUACUGUCACAUACAUCAGUUUUACCUGAUCAAAAUUCAUUCUAUUGGAACCUUUUUGUAAAUGAAAAGUAGGAAUAAAGAUUGUAACGCGAAGAAGAUCAAGAAGACGUACGAACCCAUUAUAGUCUGUAACAACAAAAUCGAAUAAUUAUUAUUCCAGUUAAUCACAUCAUGUAUAAACGUUUUCAUCCUAAAUUUUGUUCCUUUUUACUCUUUUUUCAAACACAUACUUGUUUAAUGUUUAUAUAAACAAUGUUUUGGAUUAAUGUUAUUAAAAACACAAUUGCACUAAUUUAUUUAAAAAACUAACAAGAUCACAAGAGAUAUUGGAAAAAAACAUGGCAUGAAGUAUAGUAAAAAAUGAAAAAGAAUGGGCAAAUUUUAUUUAUGGAAAAAAAAGAAGGAACUUAUCUUGUCUUUGGGUAGACAGGACUAACAAAUCUAAAACUCAAAGAUGAUUUAAAAAGUCUAAUACUUUUUUUUAAUUGGAAGUUAUUAAUUUCAAUUAUUAUGUUUAUUAACUAAUCUAGUUCUUGGUAUUUUUUUAUAUAUAUUUUUUCUCGGGUUCACCUUAAAGAAAUACCACAGUAAAUGAUUGUUCAAUUUCAUUAAUUGUAGCUUCAGAAAUAUUUUCAACUUCCUCAAUCAAAAGUGGCUUUUUUUCUAUAAGCAGGAAAGAAGUAUGACCUCGUUACAAAUCUCAAUUUCCUGUACAUUUUUUUUAAUUAGACGUAUUGGUCUUAUCGCCUUGUUUCUAAAUAUAUGAUUUAUUGCCAAGUUAAUUUUAUCAACCUUCACUUUUCCUUAUAAUUCGAAGGUCGUUUGAAUUAAAACCGCUAAUAAAAAUUCAUUUUGUGACGUGAACAUAAAAAAAAUUAAAUUUAUUCUAUUUAAAAUACCAAUAAAAAGCAAAAAACUCUUUAAUAGAAAUUUUCUUUACAUUGUAGAAUUCUUUAAACACUGUCCUGCAUUACUCCGUUUUUUGUUAUAUAUAGGGUUUAAUAGAAAUAUUAGCAAUUAUUCAAAACACCCUGUGGAAUGAAUCGUUAACGGACUACAAUAUUUACUUAAACUCGAAUGUUAUCUCAUAUUUUUUGAAUAAUUCCAUUUUUCAUUCAUUAUUUUAAAUUAUUAAAUAAAUUAUAGCGCUUAUGAUCCCGAAGAAUCAAUUUAGAACAAAAAUUACUGAAAUUAAACUUCAUUGGAUUUUGUCUGAUUCCCCUUUGAUACUUUGACUGCCAAGGCAAUUUUCAAAAUUUGAUUCAAUCAUAUUAUAUCAUCAAAAGCACUAACUUAAAUAAAAAGUUAGGUUAGGUUAGUUAUCACGAAAAGGACAACAAACUUUCUCGAACUAUUUGGCAGUUAACGUGUUAAAGUUACUAAUAUUAGUAUUUAAAAAUCAAAAAGCCACAUUUUUUUGUUUCAAAUUUUGUACAUCUUAAUAUAUUGAAAAUAACAUUACUUACACUAAGGGGCAAGAACGCCAAACCUACGAUGAAGUUAGCUGUCCAAUUAAUACCAACAGCCAAUGAGGUAGCAGUAGGACGGGCAGAUUGGUUGAAUAAUUCAGAUACCAAGAACCAUGGAAUUGAACCGGGCCCAAUCGCGAACAUUAUAACAAAAAUCAAUACGAACAGUACACAGAAAAUUCCAGCUGUUGAUCCAGUAUCCUGAAACAAAAAACGUAGACGUUGUUGAAACCUUCAUUUUAGUAUAUUUUGAUUAUUAGUGUUAUUGAAAACAGGUUAUAUGUUUCAAAAGAAGAGAUGUUAUAGUCAAAAUGAAAUGUGGUCAAAAAAUUUUCAAAUAGCAGUUGCAAGUGUGAAUGUUUUCCUGCUUUUUAGACCACCACUAUAUUUCCUUUGGUGAGUGAAACAAUGUUUAUAAACAAAAAUGAAUUUAUUUGAGUUAAAAUAAGUUCCAAAAAAAUUUUAAAAUAUGUUUAUAGUGAUGUUUUAGUCUGCCGGUUAGACUACAACUACAUCCGCUUCAAUGAAAUCAAUUUUGCAGGUUAUGUCCCGAAAUAAGAAUCUUAACCAAAGAUUUAACACUCAACUCUUUAUUCAAGUUAAAAAAUAAUGCUAAUAAUCUCACAAAAUGUUAAAAUUUCUUUAAAAUGAUGAAGAUUGUUUUACAAAUAGUAUGAACAAUAAGGACGAAGACACACUUUGAUAUCAAAAACAGACAGUUGGUGCACUGGACCAUUUACAACGCUAUACACAAAGAAAUGUAUCAACGAUUUUCUUUGCAUCAAAUGUUUCUAAUUUAAUUUCAAUAAAACGAUUUUUUAAUUAC